Molecule: long non-coding RNA, 159 nt
Organism: Drosophila gunungcola (fruit fly)
Lineage: Eukaryota; Metazoa; Arthropoda; Insecta; Diptera; Drosophilidae
Exons: 3
Source: RefSeq, a predicted model, not a curated record
GGACAGGCAACCGGGACCGGGAAAAGAAGGCACCGUCAACGAAGAAGUCACCGUUGGCGAAAUGGCCGAUCAGCUGGGCUAUUGUGCGGACUGAGGGCUGGGAAGAACCCCACCACGAGAUGGACUGGCUAGCCGGCCUUGCCCCAUCGAAGAACCAGG